CCUACGGGGGGCAGCAGUGGGGAAUAUUGGACAAUGGGCGAAAGCCUGAUCCAGCCAUGCCGCGUGUGUGAAGAAGGCCUUCGGGUUGUAAAGCACUUUCAGUGGGGAAGAAAGCCUUGGGGCUAAUACCCUCGAGGAAGGACAUCACCCACAGAAGAAGCACCGGCUAACUCCGUGCCAGCAGCCGCGGUAAUACGGAGGGUGCGAGCGUUAAUCGGAAUUACUGGGCGUAAAGCGCGCGUAGGCGGUCUGAUAAGCCGGUUGUGAAAGCCCCGGGCUCAACCUGGGAACGGCAUCCGGAACUGUCAGGCUAGAGUGCAGGAGAGGAAGGUAGAAUUCCCGGUGUAGCGGUGAAAUGCGUAGGGAUCGGUAGGAAUACCAGUGGCGAAGGCGGCCUUCUGGACUGACACUGACGCUGAGGUGCGAAAGCGUGGGUAGCAAACAGGAUUAGAUACCCUAGUAGUC
Molecule: ribosomal RNA, 465 nt
Filed under: Vreelandella stevensii
Lineage: Bacteria; Pseudomonadati; Pseudomonadota; Gammaproteobacteria; Oceanospirillales; Halomonadaceae
Description: partial 16S ribosomal RNA
Rfam family: Bacterial small subunit ribosomal RNA
Source: RNAcentral